Molecule: transfer RNA, 71 nt
Filed under: Loxodonta africana (African savanna elephant)
Lineage: Eukaryota; Metazoa; Chordata; Mammalia; Proboscidea; Elephantidae
Rfam family: tRNA
About the family: Transfer RNA (tRNA) molecules are approximately 80 nucleotides in length. Their secondary structure includes four short double-helical elements and three loops (D, anti-codon, and T loops).
Source: Rfam by way of RNAcentral
GCAGUGGUGGCUCCGUGGCAGAGCUCUCGCCUUCCACGCGGGAGACCCGGGUUUGACUCCCGGCCAGGGUU